Molecule: non-coding RNA, 1310 nt
Organism: Felis catus (domestic cat)
Lineage: Eukaryota; Metazoa; Chordata; Mammalia; Carnivora; Felidae
Source: the annotation of a RefSeq genome assembly
UGGUUGGUGGGAAGGGGGUCCCGGAGGAACAGACCUCGUCUCCUGCCCUGUGCCACCUCUUACCUGGCAACAGGCCCUGGUGCAGACUCGCUUCAAGCCUGGACUGCUCUGCCUGUGCCCCCGCUCUGGGACCACCUGUCAUGAUCCCCAAAGCCCAGCAGAGAGCAUAUCUGUGCCCACUGCACAGAUGGGAAGCUGAAAGUCCAGCAGCACGUGCGGACUCAGCCAAGUCCAAAACCAGCCCCCGUGUCUUCCCGCUGAGCCUCAGGACCAGUGACCCAGCCGGGCAAGUGGUCAUUGCCUGCCUGGUGCAAGGGUUCUUCCCGCCGGAGCCCGUGAGAGUGACUUGGAGCCCCAGCAAGGAAGGCGCGUCCAUCCGGAACUUCCCCGUAGUGAAGUCUGCUUCCGGGAACCUGUACACCACGAGCAGCCAGCUGACCCUGCCGGCUAGCCAGUGCCCCGAUGGCACGUCCCUGCAAUGCCAAGUGGAGCACUAUUCCAGCACCAGCCCGGCCGUGUCUGUGCCCUGCAGAGCUGACCCCCCUCCUCCUUGUUCCCCGUGCAAUGAACCCCGCCUGUCACUACACAAGCCCGCCCUUGAGGACCUGCUUCUGGGCUCCAAUGCCAGCAUCACGUGCACACUGAGCGGCCUGAAAAACCCCGAGGGUGCCCUGUUCUCCUGGACACCCUCAGGGAAGAAGGAGGCCAUCCAGAAGCCCCCAGAGCGUGACUCCUGCGGCUGCUACAGUGUGUCCAGUGUCCUUCCAGGCUGCGCUGAGCCAUGGAACCGCGGGGAGAACUUCUCCUGCACCGCCAGCCAUCCUGAGCUCAAGACGCCAAAAACUGACACCAUCUCCAAAGUCCUAGAGAACACUUUCCGGCCCCAGGUCCACCUGCUGCCGCCGCCGUCGGAAGAGCUGGCCCUCAAUGAGCUGGUGUCGCUGACGUGCCUCGUGCGAGGCUUCAGCCCCAAGGACGUGCUGGUACGGUGGCUGCAAGGAUCCCAGGAGCUGUCCCGGGAGAAGUACCUGACCUGGGGCCCCCUGCAGGAGCCCGACCAGAGCGUCCCCACCUUCGCCACGACCAGCGUGCUGCGAGUGUCGGCCGAGGACUGGAAGCAGGGGGAGAAGUUCUCCUGCAUGGUGGGUCACGAGGCCCUGCCCCUGGCCUUCACCCAGAAGACCAUCGACCGCCUGGCGGGUAAACCCACCCACGUCAACGUGUCUGUGGUCAUGUCGGAUGUGGAAGGCGUCUGCUACUGAACUGCCCACCUGCCCCUCCCUGAAUAAACUCCGUACUGGCCCAAAGCA